This 207-nucleotide ribosomal RNA is filed under the name uncultured bacterium. RNAcentral describes it as "partial 16S ribosomal RNA". It matches the Rfam family "Bacterial small subunit ribosomal RNA", at positions 568 to 774 of the family's 1533-position model. The record is from RNAcentral.
CGUGUAGGCGGUUAGGCAAGUCAGAUGUGAAAUCCCUUGGCUCAACCAAGGAAGUGCAUUUGAAACUGUUUAACUAGAGUACAGGAGGGGAAAGUGGAAUUCCCAGUGUAGAGGUGAAAUUCAUAGAUAUUGGGAGGAACACCGGUAGCGAAGGCGGCUUUCUGGCCUGAUACUGACGCUGAGACGCGAAAGCGUGGGGAGCAAACA